UUGAAAUACCAGUCUGGUCGUGCUGGAUGUCUAACCUCGGUCCGUGAUCCGGAUCAGGGACAGUGUCUGAUGGGUAGUUUAACUGGGGCGGUUGCCUCCUAAAGAGUAACGGAGGCGCCCAAAGGUUCCCUCAGCCUGGUUGGCAAUCAGGUGUUGAGUGUAAGUGCACAAGGGAGCUUGACUGUGAGACCGACGGGUCGAGCAGGGACGAAAGUCGGGACUAGUGAUCCGGCGGUGGCUUGUGGAAGCGCCGUCGCUCAACGGAUAAAAGGUACCCCGGGGAUAACAGGCUGAUCUUCCCCAAGAGUCCAUAUCGACGGGAUGGUUUGGCACCUCGAUGUCGGCUCGUCGCAUCCUGGGGCUGGAGUCGGUCCCAAGGGUUGGGCUGUUCGCCCAUUAAAGCGGUACGCGAGCUGGGUUUAGAACGUCGUGAGACAGUUCGGUCCCUAUCCGCUGUGCGCGUAGGAAUAUUGAGAAGGGCUGUCCCUAGUACGAGAGGACCGGGACGGACGAACCUCUGGUGUGCCAGUUGUCCUGCCAAGGGCAUGGCUGGUUGGCUACGUUCGGGAGGGAUAACCGCUGAAAGCAUCUAAGCGGGAAGCCUGCUUCGAGAUGAGUAUUCCCACCUCCUUGAGAGGGUAAGGCUCCCAGUAGACGACUGGGUUGAUAGGCCAGAUAUGGAAGCCCGGUAACGGGUGGAGUUGACUGGUACUAAUAGGCCGAGGGCUUGUCCUCAGUUG
This 740-nucleotide ribosomal RNA is filed under the name Streptomyces sp. SID4985. RNAcentral's name for it is "partial 23S ribosomal RNA". It matches the Rfam family "Bacterial large subunit ribosomal RNA", at positions 2192 to 2925 of the family's 2925-position model. The record is from RNAcentral. Lineage: Bacteria; Bacillati; Actinomycetota; Actinomycetes; Kitasatosporales; Streptomycetaceae.